This 118-nucleotide small nuclear RNA is filed under the name Cervus hanglu yarkandensis (Yarkand deer). RNAcentral's name for it is "U4 spliceosomal RNA (ENSCHYG00000001059.1)". It matches the Rfam family "U4 spliceosomal RNA". From Rfam's summary of the family: U4 small nuclear RNA (U4 snRNA) is a component of the major U2-dependent spliceosome. The structure of U4 snRNA from yeast and human has been reported. U4 snRNA presents a k-turn RNA motif in the 5p-SL related to recognition of Snu13 protein. Lineage: Eukaryota; Metazoa; Chordata; Mammalia; Artiodactyla; Cervidae. The record is from RNAcentral.
AGCUUUGCACAGUGGCAGUAUCAUAGCCAAUGAGGUUUACCUGAGGCGCGAUUAUUGCUAAUUGAAAAUAUAUUGUUCAAAAUAAAUUUGUCACAAAAGUUUUAAGAUAGUAUUUUAU